Non-coding RNA from Acanthosepion pharaonis, 113 nucleotides. NCBI's taxonomy places the organism in Eukaryota, Metazoa, Mollusca, Cephalopoda, Sepiida, Sepiidae. The record is from the annotation of a GenBank genome assembly.
UAUGGCCACAACAAGUUGAAAGCAGCGACUCCCGUACGAUCACCGAAGUUAAGCAACGUCGAGCCUGGUCAAUGCCUAGAUGGGUGACCGCUUGGGCAUACUAGGUGCAGUAA